AUGGACUACCAACCGUUGGUCUCUGCCCUUGACGCCCGCACCAUCCCGGUCACUCUUGAUGAAUUGUUUGCUCAGAUGAGUAACUUUGAUCAAAGGGUGGCUUUGUUCCAAGGGGCAGGGACCGGCGGCGGCUUCAAGUCUUCGGCGAACAUCGCCACACGCGGCCGCGGCGGUGGCGGCUCAGUUACCGUGGACCUCCUCGCAACAAGGGCAAGGGCCAUGGUGGGGGCAACAGCAGCGGCCAGAAAGGCAACCCGCGCGGCGGCGGCCGACCCUCCUCCACCAACAAUAGGGGUCGGCGCACCAGCUCCUCCAACAGCAAUAAAUCACGCCCGGACGCUGUUAGGUGCCAAAUCUGUGGCAAGCUGGGACACUCAGCAAAAGAUUGCUGGUACCAAUUUGAGGAUGAUUAUGAUGCAUCGUCCCAAGAUGAAAAGGUGGCCGGGGCGGCUGAAGCCUCAUAUGGUGUUGACACGAACUGGUACGUCGACAGCGGAGCCACAAACCACAUCACCGGCAAGCUGGAAAAAGUGA
RNAcentral lists this ribosomal RNA (534 nucleotides) under Triticum aestivum (bread wheat). Its description in RNAcentral is "partial small subunit ribosomal RNA". The record is from RNAcentral. Lineage: Eukaryota; Viridiplantae; Streptophyta; Magnoliopsida; Poales; Poaceae.